CUCAUGGUUUCACGGUAUUGCAAUGAGAACAAUUUAAAACCCUUAGCGGGAAUCAAGUGGAGGGCAAGUCUGGUGCCAGCACCCGCGGUAAUUCCAGCUCCACUAGCGUAUAUUAAAGUUGUUGCAGUUAAAAAGCUCGUAGUUGAACCUCUGUCUGGGGCUAGUUUUGGCUUUGGUCAGGCUAGUUCUAGGCAUCCGCCUACAAGACUUAGAGGGCAUUCAGUUGUUCACUAGGAGGAGUAGGCAUUUUACUUUGAAAAAAUUAGAGUGUUUAAGGCAGGCAAUCGCCCGCAUAUAUUAGCAUGGAAUAAUAGAAUAGGACACUUUUCCAUUUCGUUGGUUAUUGGAAUCGUGUAAUGAUUAAUAGGGACAGUUGUGGGCAUUUGUAUUUAAUUGUCAGAGGUGAAAUUCUUGGAUUUAUUAAAGACAAACUAACGCGAAAGCAUUUGCCAAGGAUGUUUUCAUUAAUCAAGAACGAAAGUUAGGGGAUCAAAGACGAUCAGAUACCGUCCUAGUCUUAACUAUAAACUAUUCCGACUCAAUGUUUGACUGGCUUAUAUAACCAGUUGAGCGUUGUAUGAGAAAUCAAAGUCUUUAGGUUCUGGGGGGAGUAUGGUUGCAAAGCUGAAACUUAAAGGAAUUGACGGAAGAGCACAACCAGGAGUGGAUUCUGCGGCUUAAUUUGACUCAACACGGGGAAACUUACCAGGUUAAAACAAUAGUGGGAUUGACAGUUUGAGAGCGCUUUCUUGAUUGGUUGGGUGGUGGUGCAUGGCCGUUCUUAGUUGGUGGAGUGAUUUGUCUGCUUAAUUGCGUUAACGAACGAGACCUUAACCUGCUUACUAGACUGGCGAUCAUCAAUCGUUAGCUCUUCUUAGAGGGACUUUGGUUGUUUUAACUCCAAGGAAGUUUGAGGCAAUAACAGGUCUGUGAUGCCCUUAGAUAUCCUGGGCCGCACGCGUCAUACAAUGACUAGUUCAGAAAGUUUUCUCCUGACCCGAAAGGGGAUGGGUAAUCUUGAUAAUACUAGUCGUGUUAGGGAUCGAUCUUUGCAAUUAUAGAUCUUGAACGAGGAAUUCCUAGUAAGUGCGGUCAUCAGACCGUACUGAUUACGUCCCUGCUCUUUGUACACACCGCCCGUCGCUUCUACCGAGUGGGUGGUCCGGUGAGAUAAUUGAACUUCGCAGGUAACUGAGAGGAAAGAUUAUCAAACCUAUCCACCU
RNAcentral lists this ribosomal RNA (1223 nucleotides) under metagenome. RNAcentral's name for it is "SSU rRNA". It matches the Rfam family "Eukaryotic small subunit ribosomal RNA", at positions 493 to 1774 of the family's 1831-position model. The record is from RNAcentral.